RNAcentral lists this ribosomal RNA (253 nucleotides) under uncultured bacterium. RNAcentral describes it as "partial 16S ribosomal RNA". It matches the Rfam family "Bacterial small subunit ribosomal RNA", at positions 524 to 776 of the family's 1533-position model. The record is from RNAcentral.
UACGGAGGUGGCAAGCGUUGCUCGGAAUCACUGGGCGUAAAGGCGCGUAGGCGGGGAGGUAAGUCGGGUGUGAAAUCCCUCGGCCCAACUGAGGAACUGCGCCCGAGACUGCUUCUCUUGAGUCCCGGAGAGGAAGAUGGAAUUCCCGGUGUAGCGGUGAAAUGUGUAGAGAUCGGGAGGAACACCGGUGGCGAAGGCGGUCUUCUGGACGGGUGACUGACGCUGAGGCGCGAAAGCGUGGGGAGCAAACAGG